UAAGGAAGCUGUGGAAUUGGUAAGACGCCUGACAUUGAUCAGGAUGAACCUUCCCGUGCUUUUUAGAACAUAGAUGGCACCAGUCAGGUGACCAUCGCCUGUAAUACGUCGCAGAGAUGUUACCAUCCUGACGAUAUGGCGAGCAUCGCCGUCUACGUUUCUCUUUCUAUCCAAGAACAUGGAUCGCGGCUUUAUGGCUGAGUUCACCGAAAUGGGCCCGUAGCUCAGGUGGUUAGAGCGCACGCCUGAUAAGCGUGAGGUCGGCAGUUCGAGUCUGCCCGGGCCCACCAUUCGGCUUUUGCCUGGUGGUGAUUGACCUGGCAGUCGUCGUAAGUUUGUUCGUUUCGGCCUUUGGUUGGAGCGGACUGGCCGGGCCUUUGCUGACAGUAUUGUCAUCGGGGCCUUGACUGAACCUGAUGGGGCUGUAGCUCAGCUGGGANAGCACCUGCUUUGCAAGCAGGGGGUCAGCGGUUCGAUCCCGCUCAGCUCCACCAAGUUUUAGUGUUGAUGCUGAUUGUUGAGGUUCUUGGAAAGAAAUAAAAGUUUGCACUGCUCAAACGAGCAAGUGCCUGUUCUGUCUAAAAUUGUGAAGAGAAGAUACGUCCGGAUAAGUGAGUAACAUCACUUAUGCCUAUAGGAUUUG
Molecule: transfer RNA, 643 nt
Filed under: rhizosphere bacterium GWR01
Lineage: Bacteria
Description: 16S-23S intergenic spacer
Rfam family: tRNA (bases 214-287)
Source: RNAcentral